AUGAACGCUGGCGGCGUGCCUAAUACAUGCAAGUCGAGCGAACAGACGAGGAGCUUGCUCCUCUGACGUUAGCGGCGGACGGGUGAGUAGCACGUGGAUAACCUACCUAUAAGACUGGGAUAACUUCGGGAAACCGGAGCUAAUACCGGAUAAUAUAUUUAACCGCAUGGUUCAAUAGUGAAAGACGGUUUUGCUGUCACUUAUAUAUGGAUCCGCGCCGCAUUAGCUAGUUGGUAAGGUAACGGCUUACCAAGGCAACGAUGCGUAGCCGACCUGAGAGGGUGAUCGGCCACACUGGAACUGAGACACGGUCCAGACUCCUACGGGAGGCAGCAGUAGGGAAUCUUCCGCAAUGGGCGAAAGCUUGACGGAGCAACGCCGCGUGAGUGAUGAAGGUCUUCGGAUCGUAAAACUCUGUUAUUAGGGAAGAACAAAUGUGUAAGUAACUAUGCACGUCUUGACGGUACCUAAUCAGAAAGCCACGGCUAACUACGUG
This 496-nucleotide ribosomal RNA is filed under the name uncultured bacterium. Its description in RNAcentral is "partial 16S ribosomal RNA". It matches the Rfam family "Bacterial small subunit ribosomal RNA", at positions 29 to 507 of the family's 1533-position model. The record is from RNAcentral.